UACGAAGGGGGCUAGCGUUGUUCGGAAUCACUGGGCGUAAAGCGCACGCAGGCGGAUCGUUAAGUCAGGGGUGAAAUGCCGAGGCUCAACCUCGGAACUGCCUUUGAUACUGGCGAUCUUAGAGUCCGGGAGAGGUGAGUGGAACUCCGAGUGUAGAGGUGAAAUUCGUAGAUAUUCGCAAGAACACCAGUGGCGAAGGCGGCUCACUGGCCCGGUACUGACGCUGAGGUGCGAAAGCGUGGGGAGCAAACAGG
This 254-nucleotide ribosomal RNA is filed under the name uncultured bacterium. RNAcentral's name for it is "partial 16S ribosomal RNA". It matches the Rfam family "Bacterial small subunit ribosomal RNA", at positions 524 to 776 of the family's 1533-position model. The record is from RNAcentral.